CCUACGGGUGACAGCAGUAGGGAAUAUUGCUCAAUGGGGGAAACCCUGAAGCAGCAACGCCGCGUGGAGGAUGAAGGUUUUCGGAUUGUAAACUCCUUUUGUUAGAGAAGAUAAUGACGGUAUCUAACGAAUAAGCCCCGGCUAACUCCGGGCCAGCAGCCGCGGUCAUACGGAGGGUGCAAGCGUUACUCGAAAUCACUGGGCGUAAAGGGCGCGGAGGCGGGAUGGCAAGUCAGAUGUGAAAUCCCAUGGCUUAACCAUAGAACUGCAUUUGAAACUGGUAUUCUAGAGUAUGGGAGAGGUAGGUGGAAUUCUUGGUGUAGGGGUAAAAUCCGUAGAGAUCAAGAGGAAUACUCAUUGCGAAGGCGACCUGCUAGAACAUAACUGACGCUGAUGCGCGAAAGCGUGGGGAGCAAACAGGAUUAGAUACCCUGGUAGUC
Molecule: ribosomal RNA, 440 nt
Filed under: uncultured bacterium
Lineage: Bacteria
Description: partial 16S ribosomal RNA
Rfam family: Bacterial small subunit ribosomal RNA
Source: RNAcentral